GUAGGCGGUUAUGUAAGCGAAUAGUGAAACCUGGUGGCUCAACCACACAGACUAUUAUUCGAACUGCAUAACUCGAGAAUGGUAGAGGUAACUGGAAUUUCUUGUGUAGGAGUGAAAUCCGUAGAUAUAAGAAGGAACACCAAUGGCGUAGGCAGGUUACUGGGCCAUUUCUGACGCUAAGGCACGAAAGCGUGGGGAGCGAACCGGAUUAGAUACCCGGGUAGUCCACGCCGUAAACGAUGGAUACUAGCUGUUGGAGGUAUCGACCCCUUCAGUAGCGAAGCUAACGCGUUAAGUAUCCCGCCUGUGGAGUACGGCCGCAAGGCUAAAACAUAAAGGAAUUGACGGGGACCCGCACAAGCGGUGGAUCAUGUUCUUUAAUUCGAUGCUAAACGAAGAACCUUACCAGGACUUGACAUCCUUGGAAGCACUACGAAAGUAGCGUGUGCCUUUUGGAACCAAGUGACAGGUGUUGCAUGGCCGUCGUCAGCUCGUGUCGUGAGGUGUUUGGUUAAGUCCAUCAACGAGCGCAACCCUUAUGGUCUGUUGUAUUUUUUCAGGCCAGACUGCCCCGGUAACGGGGAGGAAGGAGGGGAUGAUGUCAGGUCAGUAUUACCCUUACGUCCUGGGCUAGAAACGUGAUACAAUGGCAAGUACAAUGCGCAGCGAAGCCGCGAGGUGAAGCAAAUCGCAUCAAAGCUUGUCCCAGUUCGGAUUGGAGGCUGAAACUCGCCUCCAUGAAGUCGGAAUCGCUAGUAAUCGCAGAUCAGCAAGCUGCGGUGAAUACGUUCCCGGGUCUUGUACACACCGCCCGUCAAACCAUGAAAGUGACCAACACCCGAAGUCCGAUUCGUCGGCCUAAGGUGGGGGGCAUGAUUGGGGUU
This 884-nucleotide ribosomal RNA is filed under the name uncultured Candidatus Saccharibacteria bacterium. RNAcentral's name for it is "bacterial SSU rRNA". It matches the Rfam family "Bacterial small subunit ribosomal RNA", at positions 571 to 1482 of the family's 1533-position model. The record is from RNAcentral. Lineage: Bacteria; Candidatus Saccharimonadota.